CCUACGGGAGGCAGCAGUGGGGAAUAUUGCACAAUGGGCGCAAGCCUGAUGCAGCAACGCCGCGUGAGGGACGACGGCCUUCGGGUUGUAAACCUCUUUUAGUAGGGAAGAAGCGAAAGUGACGGUACCUGCAGAAAAAGCACCGGCUAACUACGUGCCAGCAGCCGCGGUAAUACGUAGGGUGCAAGCGUUGUCCGGAAUUAUUGGGCGUAAAGAGCUCGUAGGCGGUUUGUCGCGUCUGCUGUGAAAACCCCGAGGCUCAACCUCGGGCCUGCAGUGGGUACGGGCAGACUAGAGUGCGGUAGGGGAGAUUGGAAUUCCUGGUGUAGCGGUGGAAUGCGCAGAUAUCAGGAGGAACACCGAUGGCGAAGGCAGAUCUCUGGGCCGUAACUGACGCUGAGGAGCGAAAGCAUGGGGAGCGAACAGGAUUAGAUACCCUGGUAGUCCAUGCGUAACGUUAGGUAACGUAGAUAGUAGGACGACUACCUACGGUUACGUUGUGUCGCAGCGUACGACAUUAACGUUACCCGUCCGUCGGGUAGGUACGGCCGCGACGGACGUAAACUACAAACGAAGUAGACGGCGUGAGACGUGCCGACGGACGACGACGAGGGAGGUAGG
RNAcentral lists this ribosomal RNA (621 nucleotides) under uncultured bacterium. RNAcentral describes it as "bacterial SSU rRNA". The stretch from base 1 to 532 matches the Rfam family "Bacterial small subunit ribosomal RNA", at positions 338 to 873 of the family's 1533-position model. The record is from RNAcentral.